AUGCUGGUCGCUGAUGAGAUGCCGGAGCCCAUCCCUCUGAUCGAUCUUAGCCGGCUGACCGAAGCCGACGAGGCCGACAAGCUCCGAGCGGUUCUACAGACCUGGGGCCUCUUCCUGGCGACCAACCAUGGAAUCGAGGAGUCCCUUAUGGAUGCCAUGAUGAGUGCGUCCAUGGAAUCAAGAGACUUCUUCAUGCAACCGUAUGAAGAAAAGCAGAAAUACAGCAACUUGAUAGACGGCAAGCAUUUCCAGAUGAAAGGCCAUGGAAAUGACAAAGUAGUGACCCCCCAGGAUGAGGGCCUGAGCUGGAACGACCGCUUGCAUUUGAGAGUGGAGCCAGAAGAUGAGAGGAAUUUCGCCAAGUGGCCCACUCACCCGGAAUCUUUCAGGGAUGUGCUUCAUGAGUACGCAUCAAGAACAAAGAGAACAAGAGACCUUCUCUUGCAAUCAAUGGCCAAGCUCCUCGACCUUGAUGAGGAUUACUUCGUCAACCAAAUAUCAAACAAGGCUUCUGGGUUUGCUAGAUUCAACUACUACCCUCCAUGUCCCAGGCCUGACCUAGUUUUGGGCAGGAAGCCUCACACUGAUGGUGGUCUCCUUACCAUCCUUUUUGUCGACCAAGACGUCGGUGGCUUGCAAGUUGAGAGGGGUGGGAAAUUGUACAAUGUUCCAGCCAAGCCUUACACAUUGGUGAAUAAUGUAGCAGAUCCAACCAGAUUGUUUGGUGCUGCUGUGUUUUUUUUUCUAACUUGUAUCUAUUUGUCUUGA
RNAcentral lists this ribosomal RNA (768 nucleotides) under Triticum aestivum (bread wheat). RNAcentral's name for it is "partial small subunit ribosomal RNA". Lineage: Eukaryota; Viridiplantae; Streptophyta; Magnoliopsida; Poales; Poaceae. The record is from RNAcentral.